CUUGAAACCGUGUGCUUACAAGUAGUCAGAGCCCGUUAAUGGGUGAUGGCGUGCCUUUUGUAGAAUGAACCGGCGAGUUACGAUCUGAUGCAAGGUUAAGCAGAAAAUGUGGAGCCGUAGCGAAAGCGAGUCUGAAUAGGGCGAAUGAGUAUUUGGUCGUAGACCCGAAACCAGGUGAUCUACCCUUGGUCAGGUUGAAGUUCAGGUAACACUGAAUGGAGGACCGAACCGACUUACGUUGAAAAGUGAGCGGAUGAACUGAGGGUAGCGGAGAAAUUCCAAUCGAACUUGGAGAUAGCUGGUUCUCUCCGAAAUAGCUUUAGGGCUAGCCUCAAGUGAUGAUUAUUGGAGGUAGAGCACUGUUUGGACGAGGGGCCCCUCUCGGGUUACCGAAUUCAGACAAACUCCGAAUGCCAAAUAAUUUAACUUGGGAGUCAGAAUGUGGGUGAUAAGGUCCAUAUUCGAAAGGGAAACAGCCCAGACCACCAGCUAAGGUCCCAAAAUAUAUGUUAAGUGGAAAAGGAUGUGGCGUUGCCCAGACAACUAGGAUGUUGGCUUAGAAGCAGCCAUCAUUUAAAGAGUGCGUAAUAGCUCACUAGUCGAGUGACACUGCGCCGAAAAUGUACCGGGGCUAAACAUAUUACCGAAGCUGUGGAUUGUCCUUUGGACAAUGGUAGGAGAGCGUUCUAAGGGCGUUGAAGCAUGAUCGCAAGGACAUGUGGAGCGCUUAGAAG
Molecule: ribosomal RNA, 734 nt
Filed under: Staphylococcus pseudintermedius
Lineage: Bacteria; Bacillati; Bacillota; Bacilli; Caryophanales; Staphylococcaceae
Description: partial 23S ribosomal RNA
Rfam family: Bacterial large subunit ribosomal RNA
Source: RNAcentral